GGGGGCGUAAAGGUUUCGACAGGGAGUGUGAGCUUCGGCAAGCGGGCAGCGGCACUGCAGAACCGCUAUAAAAUCCGCAGACUUUAAAAUUAAACGACAACAAUAAAACUGUUGCCCUCGCUGCUUAAUUAGCGAGCGUUCCUGCUGAGAGUACCACGGCUUGGCAGGAGCGUCGAUUAGUGGUGAACGUGAACGGAAAUGAGCCUUGCUUUCCGUCAUGACUCAAAGGCUACCGAAACGCAGAGUCUGCCGACAGACGCUGUGACGGGGGAAUCUUAAAUUAUCGGCUACGCUCGUAGAAAACCGCUGUAAGUGCUUUUUGGACAGGGGUUCAAUUCCCCUCGCCUCCAC
Molecule: transfer-messenger RNA, 351 nt
Filed under: bovine gut metagenome
Rfam family: transfer-messenger RNA
About the family: Bacterial tmRNA, also known as 10Sa RNA or SsrA, is named for its dual tRNA and mRNA-like properties. Its role is to liberate the mRNA from a stalled ribosome. To accomplish this part of the tmRNA is used as a reading frame that ends in a translation stop signal.
Source: RNAcentral